AUACUGUACACAGCAAUUGAUCAUAAACUGACGAUAUAAUCACUCAACCACGGUCAAAGUCAACUUCACGACGUCUGAGGUACCGACGUGGUAUUUAUCAUGGAGGGUGUUUGUGGAGGGGCAAAGAAUAUACCGCGAAACUUUUAAUGAAAACAUAUUCAGAGGAUUUAAUCGUUACCUUGAACAAGAAAAUGGAUACUCAUAGAAAAACAUUUGAGAAGAUACAGCAAACACUUUAGCAAACUCAGAUAAAAGCGUCGCUUUCCCAACAAAAAGCAUAAUAUCAAAGUCGCAAUUGCUUUGAGAUUAUAUUCAAUCGUAUAAUUAACAUUUAAAUGUACACACUUGUUGAAGUGUAAUUAACGUUUAACAUCAACAACAUCCCUCAUUGUAUGAGCAAUGUAAACUUUCUGUUUUAUUUAUUUAUACUACACAACAUUUAUUAAUAAUCACCCAGCUAUAUGUCACAAUAACUCAAACACAAUCUAUUUAAAUUGAAAAUUAUGUGAAUCAUAUAAUAUAUUCUCUUCUCAAUUCCUUUGUAUCAAUAAAUGCAUUAGCAGUUAUUUUAUGAUA
This is a long non-coding RNA of Odontomachus brunneus, 576 nucleotides long. RefSeq lists it as uncharacterized. The transcript is spliced from 2 exons. The record is from RefSeq and is a predicted model, not a curated record. Lineage: Eukaryota; Metazoa; Arthropoda; Insecta; Hymenoptera; Formicidae.